GCGGAGGCUGCGAUGGACGGGGCGCGCGCUCGGUGGGAGCGGUGGCAGGUCGGAGACCCUUCAGAAGUGGUGCAUAAGCCGAAAGAAACUGAGGAGAACAUACCUGACUUAGGUGUACUCAAGGAAGAGGGCCCUGAAGAGAAGUUGGACUACCUGCAGGGACGACUGAAGACCUCGGAUGAGGAGGUGUUUGGCGUCCAUCCUGAAGCUGAUGAGAGUCUGGAGUUGGGAGCGCAGAUUUAUGGGGAGAUCCACGGACAGCAGUAUCAGAUGAGGAACGGGCAAGCUGGAGAACGUACUGCGGGAAGGCUCCUAGACACGGGGAGCAGAACACGGCACAGUGGGCACCGCAGGCCUCGAAUACGUCACGUGUGAGAGAGAGUUCGUGACGGAGCCCACUUGCACGGACCCGGAGCCUGGCGGCGGCUCAAAUGCCAGAGGAUCGUCUUCGCAAGGUGCGUCUAUGCAGACACAACACGUGCGAUACCCUGACACAGAGGAAAACCAUGGUAUUGCAUCACCUUCUGAACAGUACAUUUUUUUUCUGCUUCAGUGAAACUUGAGUGAAACUUAGAGAUAUUCAUGUCAAUGCUAAAGUUUGGUUCACACUUUCACAGAGGUGAAGACUAUUUUUUCAUCUGAUGAAGAGCUCUACAGUAUCGCAGGGCCUCACAGUUGCCCGUUUUGUGUGGAACCAACAGCUGCGAUGCUUGAACAUUUGCGAAGGAGACAUUUGAACUUUGCUAUUCACCUACUGGAAAAUGAGACUGGUAUUUAAAUACUUCUGCUGCUGGGUAUAAGAAAUUUCUUAGAUUUUCUUUAUUGUUACAAAAGCCAGGGUGAUUCCAAAUGAUUAUUUUUGAGGGACUUAUGGUAUGGCUUUGAUAUCCAGCUACCCUGUGUUGCUUGAAGAAACAUCUUUACUCUUACAUCACAUUCCCGUAAGACCUAAGAGGAAAAAAAUGAAAAUAUACUCAUCCCUCAUUAAAUGGGGUUCCUUAUAACAAUAAAUUGCUACGGCCACCUCCAAAAAUGUGUUUUUUUCAUACUAGAGACUUAUGAUUCAGUACAGUAAUUUGCCCCUUAUUUGGUCAUUUUCUUUCUGUAAUUGACAUAAAAAUGUCAGUGUUAUUCCAGCCAGUAUUAUUUUUUUUUUUUAAAAAAAUGAGCAGUUUAGUCCCAGUGCAACACAGGGGCUGUGCAGCUUUCAGGCUACCCUACACACUGGUCCAAAACAGUCCAAUCAGGGCAGCGAUCACAGAAAGUAUAAACAAUUAAUAAAGAAAAGCCGGUUAUUAAUUUUAGGUGACAUUUUUAGUCCUGCAACUGAUUAUUUUCUUUUCCCACAUAAGUAUUGAUGGUAAUUUUACCCCCUCAUGAAAGGAAAUCGAGCUAACAGGGUGAUUUCAUGAAGGAUAGUAACAACGUUAUGUCAGAAAUGGGUCUAAAAGCAAAAGCACUAAAUCUGUCAAUGACACAAACUCCUUUUUUUAAAGGUUUAUACAUGGUAGCAUUGUUUGUGCCAUUUUUCUCAAACAGAGAAAUUCACCAUUCCGUGCUUCUGUGAAAAAGUAGAACUGGAGCCACUGGCACUGUCACAGGUGCAAUGUGUCCAUAGAAGGAACCAUCGUUUCACAGAUCACCUGCUAAAAUAUGCUUACGACAUGAGCUCGCAUAGAUUUUUGCUGAUCUGCGUUAAACUUUGAUAUUAUUUAAAUCCUCAGUGGACUCAGUAGUAUUUUUUCUUUCAUAGGGUACACCAUCCAGAAUCCUAAAGUUUGCACAGAAUGGAAUCAUACAAAACGAAAGAGACAUCACAGUGGAGCAGGAAGAGCUCAGUCCUGUAGAGGGUUUUUGGGGCAGGGAUGCUCCAGCGCUGGAUACCGACAUGGGGACUCUGCAGUCUACCUGGCCACAGCACGGCACAUUCAGUUCUGGAGAAGAUAAUGGUCUGUCUUCAUCAGUCCUCGUAUUAACCUCCUGAACAUCUAUUUGAAAUCGUUGGUAGAGGUGCGCCUGGUUCACAGCACUUAUGGUCACUAAGUGUGGGAUACAUGAUCUACUACCUUUUUGUUCCCUAACACCCUAUAUUAUGGAUAAGGACACCUUGAGAGAGGUGUUUAACAUUUUGAAAACUUGUUUUAAAUUAAAUAUCCAAGGUUUUGUUUUCUAUUUUUAUGAAAGCAAAAGGUUUCUUCUUAAAUUGCCUGUUGCUUUGUGAAAUAGCUCUAGGCUAAUGCAGGUGGGGGAAUUAAAGUUUUCCAAGGUUUGGUCUGGAAAAUUCAUCUAAUUAGUAUUUGAUAAAAACUGUUGGGUUUUGGUAUUUUCAUUGAGAAAAUUUGUUGUAACGUCAUUUGGAUUAGAAAUCCAUUAAAUGUAGAUGCUUAAGUAAAAGUAUUUCAUUCAAACAACUGAUGUAAAUGUAGCAGUUGGUAAUUUAAGCACACUAAAACAGUAAUGUCCUCUGUGCCCACAGACCUUCUUAAAGAGUAACCCAUAUGACUCCUGUGUAUGCUGGGCAUAACUACAACCAUCCAUACUGAGUAAAAAAAUAAAAAUCCAAAAAAUCCAUUUAUCUUGGAAAUAUUUAUACAAAUAAUAGACUCUUCCUGAUCUUGCACAUAUAAUACAUUAUGGAAAAGAUUUUAAAAUAUUAUCACUGGGACUUGUACAGGAGAGCACGGAACAAUCCAAAAACAAGUUCAUCCACAUUUAAAAAUUAUCCAGUAAACCGAGUUCACCUUUAAAAAAAAAAAAAAUUACAUUUAUAAAAAUGACCUUGCACUUCUGGUGAACUACCUGAUAAGAAGGACAAGGCUUUGCUUUGUUGCAGUCUUAAAUAUGUUGUGUAUCUGAAGAGCUGCAACAUAUUAACCUGUAAAGAGCAGGAAAUGACUCCAGUUAAUAGUCAAUCACGAUUAGCAUGCUGAUCACAGGUCUCUGCUAUAGAAACCGGGCUUAACAUUUUUAAAUAACAAGUAAUUUUUUUGUUGAGGCCAUGGUGGUGCGGUGCGGUGGGUUG
This is a long non-coding RNA of Scleropages formosus (Asian bonytongue), 3022 nucleotides long. RefSeq lists it as uncharacterized. Lineage: Eukaryota; Metazoa; Chordata; Actinopteri; Osteoglossiformes; Osteoglossidae. The record is from RefSeq and is a predicted model, not a curated record. The transcript has 3 exons.